Molecule: long non-coding RNA, 1338 nt
Filed under: Salmo salar (Atlantic salmon)
Lineage: Eukaryota; Metazoa; Chordata; Actinopteri; Salmoniformes; Salmonidae
Description: lncRNA (ENSSSAG00000093888.1)
Source: RNAcentral
UUUGAAUAACACUUGAUUUACAUCAUCAUCAGCAUUCGGUCUGGUUGGCUGAUAGCCUAUGCGAGGCAGAAAGACACAGUAGAGAGGAGCGGCUGCAUCUACGACCCUGCGACCCAACUCCAUCCCUUCCUCAGUCGGGAGUUACACAUGUGUGUCAGGGCAGCAGCAACACAGCUCUGGAACGGAUGCUGUUUUACUUCCUGUGGGGAAGCAAGUGGGAGAGGCUGAGGAGGGAGGUGGUCAAGAGGCCCAGGUCCAAGGGGGGAAAGGCUUGCCUGACCUCUACUUGUUCCUGGGCAGCCACUAUACAUUGUUACAUCUCACUCUUGCCACCUCCCCGGGCAACAACAAGACCCAGGCCCUCGCACGGUUCUGGCUGGGAUCUUACAUCAGAACCCUGAGGCUGAUCCCAGUCGACCUGCAAGCCCAAGUCUCUUUCCUUCUCCCCACACACUACGCCCAGCUCCAGAAGUUUUUUAGACAUUUUAAACUGGAAAGGGAAGCAGUCACGGUUUUGACUGGGCACCGCUCUCUUCUCUCUUGUGCAGGAGUGGGAACCAGUGCGUCCAGUGUGCGGGCUUGCUAACGGUGAGCCCAUAACGGUUUGGUGUAAUGUGGCCCAUCCUGCUCUCCUGAAUUGGCACCGGGACCUGUCCUGGAUGGUCGCCCACGAGAUCCUCCCGGUCAAGGUCGUUAUGCACUCCCGGGGCAUGGCGAGGAUAUCCGUGUGCCCCCGACCAGGCUGCGGCCAAGAGAAGUCGGUGAGGCACUUGCUCUGGGAGUGCAGAGCCGCCAGGGACCUGUGGAAGGAAGCAGGCCCCCUGAUCUCCCCGUGUCUGUCAGCAGGGGAGGACCUAAUGCCCCAGCUCGUGCUGUAUGGGGUGGGCCGAAGGCCUAUUCCACCGAAGGCCUUCACCAAGCUCUGGCCCACCCUCACGUGUCUGAAGGAAGCACUGUGGUCCUCCUGUAACCUGCUGGUAGCGAAAUGAGUAGAGACCACCCCCCAGGCAGUGGCCAUGGUAGCCACGGAAGCCCUGGGGUGGUACAGAAGAAAGGGAGCCUCGACCCCAAGCGAAGGGUCCCCCACAACACCCAAGGUCCCGGCGGCCACGGCCUGACAGCGCUGCGGUGCCUAGGGCGAUGCACCUUGAGGAGGGAUCUCCUCUGGGACCUGAAGGACAGGACUGUGAUUGAUUCGGAAGAGCAGGAGGAGGCGAGUUUGAUAAGGACUCACCCUGCUCCUGUACAAAGGACCAAAGACAGCUUUUUAACAAAGUGACUUUUUCUUACAUGCUUUCAUGUCUUAAAAAUGUUUUACUUUUGUUAAAUCAUUUGUAC